AGCGAUCGCUGGCGGCAGGCCUAACACAUGCAAGUCGAACGAACUCUUCGGAGUUAGUGGCGGACGGGUGAGUAACACGUGGGAACGUGCCUUUUGGUUCGGAAUAACUCAGGGACACUUGUGCUAAUACCGAAUGUGCCCUUCGGGGGAAAGAUUUAUCGCCAUUAGAUCGGCCCGCGUCUGAUUAGCUAGUUGGUGAGGUAACGGCUCACCAAGGCGACGAUCAGUAGCUGGUCUGAGAGGAUGACCAGCCACACUGGGACUGAGACACGGCCCAGACUCCUACGGGAGGCAGCAGUGGGGAAUCUUGCGGAAUGGGCGAAAGCCUGACGCAGCCAUGCCGCGUGAAUGAUGAAGGUCUUAGGAUUGUAAAAUUCUUUCACCGGGGACGAUAAUGACGGUACCCGGAGAAGAAGCCCCGGCUAACUUCGUG
RNAcentral lists this ribosomal RNA (433 nucleotides) under uncultured bacterium. Its description in RNAcentral is "partial 16S ribosomal RNA". It matches the Rfam family "Bacterial small subunit ribosomal RNA", at positions 29 to 507 of the family's 1533-position model. The record is from RNAcentral.